Protopterus annectens (West African lungfish) is the source of this 82-nucleotide non-coding RNA. The record is from the annotation of a RefSeq genome assembly. Lineage: Eukaryota; Metazoa; Chordata; Ceratodontiformes; Protopteridae.
GAUGACAUGGCCGAGUGGUUAAGGUGAUGGACUGCUAAUCCAUUGUGCUCUGCAUGCAUAGGUUCAUAUCCUACUCUCAUCA